Schistosoma haematobium is the source of this 45-nucleotide non-coding RNA. Lineage: Eukaryota; Metazoa; Platyhelminthes; Trematoda; Strigeidida; Schistosomatidae. The record is from Rfam.
AUUCAGCUGAUGAGUUUUAUGUAGGAUGAAACGCGCGUCCUGAAU